UAUUAAUACUUCAUAGUUCAAUUUUAAAAUAUAGAUAGUGAAAUGAAUGCUCCUAUCUUAUUCUUAUUUUCAGGACAAUGUUAUCAAUACAGGAUUUCUUGUGGUUCUGUAAAUACUUUAAAAGAAUUUCUAACAUUACAAGUAAAGAAUGACAUAUAUGGAGAGUUGUAUUGAUUUAUAUUUUCUCUAUUUAUCCCUAAAAAUUUCUGUAUUAUCUCAUGAUCCGUAUGUUGCGUCUCACAAGCCUGCUCAUGAUAAUCUCAGACUCAGGCAUGGAAAAUAUAUGGUUCUCCCAAAUGCUGAGAAGUUCUCACUGAAGAUAGAGUCACCACACCUACCUGUUGGUAUUCAUUAUUGUUUUCUUGUAUGUAAAACUCCAUUAUAUAUUUAUAUUUUAUGUGUUAGCAGCAUGUGUGCUGGCCAUAAUUUAAAUUCCUUACAUUAUGUGUAUGUCUUAUUAUUUCUUUAGAUGUCACAGGAUAUUAUGUCAUGUAGAUGUAGUUUAUGUUUUUUUAAGCAUACAAACACCACCUGUUCAUUUUCUCCAUUAAUUGCACUGAGGACAAUAUCCAGUGUAUGUUCUGCAAGGUGGCAUACACUUGAAUCUGUUCCUUUUUAUCUUUUGGGAAAGUACUGAAUGUUUAGGACUCUAGGUAUUUUCUUCCAUUUAAAUUCAUGAAAUUACAGUUCUACAGUUGAUCUAAAUUUCUGAGUCCUUUUUUUUCUUCUCUGAUUAAUCUUCCCUUUUUUAAUAAUUAGCAUGAUACUUAUGUUUUUGAGUUCAAUACUAAAAGAGUGAAUAUGUUUGAUUAAUUUCAUUGCUGUAAGUUAUGAAGCAUGAAAUAGUCAUGCCAUACAUGGAACACAUUUUUCCACCAUGUGUACUCACAUUUAUGGAAGGCCAGUAUUUCUUCUGUAAGUCUUGGAUUUUUUUACUUUUUUGCAUUAUUUAAAAAGUGUUAUAUAGUAAGUUCACAGAGAGUUGUAAAAGAAAAAUGACCUCUUAUAUUCAUAAAGUUUCCAGCUGCUGAGGGUCAAAUCCUCCUCAGCAUAUUUUUACAAAUGUAGUUUUGUUGCAAUGCAUCCCUAUUCACAAACUCACAGUGUCUUAGUGAGACGUUUCAUUACUGUGACCAGUGAUUUAAAGGAACACUUCUCUUAGCUUGUGACCGCAGAGGGUACCAUGAACAGCUGGCUUGCUGCAUUGUUUCUGGAUUGAAGAUGUGUCCCAUGACUGCAGGACAUUAUAAAGCACAGGAGUUCACUACAUGACAACCAGGAAGCAGAGGAGAGUUACCAGAAUGGAUCAGAUCCAAGAUGUACCCUCCACAGUGUCUGUCUCUGCUGCUCAGUGACUCUGCAACUCAAAUAAUAAAGCCAUGGUUGCUCUCUGCAUCCUGAGAAGCACACACUGGAGGAGACCACUUCCCUAAGCAGGCUGUCCUCAACAGAGAGAUGGGAAGGUCAAUUGAAAAACAUGCGUCCUCAGAGGGAUCCUUUCUGGGCAGAUUAACAGUGACUUCCAGGGUUUGGAGUCCUGCUUCAGUUGCAAAAAGGAUGGUUCCCCCCAGCUUUCAGAAUCAGGCAGAAACAUGAGACUGCUGUUGUACCUGUGAAGAAUUACUACACCAGGGUCAGUUCUCACCGGUCACCAUGAGACAUUCUGAGAGCUUGGAGCUAUAACAUUUGCUGUCAGUCUCAUUUAACAAUAUCACCCUAAUCUGAUCAGGAGGGAAAUUUUCUCCAUGUGGAUAUCUAGAUGGACCAUACUGAGGACAUUGUGAAUGACAGGGGAAUAGAUACCUGAAGGGAAUCAUGCCACUGACUCUGAAGCCAUGGCUUUUACAUUAAGGUCUGCCAUCCCUGCCACAGUCCAUGAAUCCUUUAUCAUCUACAAGGAAGAUGAUUCACUUUGAAAAGCUUUUUCUGAUAGAGACCAGUGUGCUGUAUCAUCUUUGGAGAAAUGCCUAUUUAUUUAGAUAUUUAGAUGUGUUAUUCAGAGUCUGUAUGUGCUAAACACCAGGAUCUCACACUCUUCAAGAAGGCCACAAUUUUAGGAUCUUAAGGGACCAACAGAUGUAUGUGACCACCUGCUGCAGACGAAGGAAUAGUGCAAAUUAUUGCUUAAUCUUCAGGACAAUUUUGGAUACAGCAUGCAGAUUUUUCCUUCAGAGCAGGCCUUGAAAAUAAAGAGCCCACAUCACCCUCCAUGCUUUAUUUCCCAUCAAGUGCAUGAAGAAAAUUUUCUGACUAUGGGAUAUUGGUAAGUGAACAGAUCUAUGCAUACAUCAGUAUGCCAUUAGGACUCAAUGUAUCUGUAGCUUAAUGAAAGAAAUAUGUUUUACACAAAUAUGUGACCAUUCUAGUCUCAGAUUCUUGGACAUUUUAUCGGUGUGGGAUAUUUCUUCAAUCCAGUAGUGUUAAUCAUAAUUUAAAAGUAGUUGGUUUAUACUGCCAUUAUAGUUAAGCCACUCUGUCAGCAAGAUGUCUGAAGACUGCCCACUAUAUUUUAAUUUAGGAAGUGUAGGUAAAGAUGGUGAGAAUUUUUGUUCAUUCUAUACAUUUGAAGAUAGAGGUUUCUGUCCCUGCCAGGUUCCACAGCAGCAUUGAACCAAAUAAACACAGAAAGACUUAUAUUAAGUAGAAGACAUGUGGCCUCAGGCUCAAGCUUCUUGUUUCCUAGCUCUGCCUUAAUUGUUAACCCAUUUCUAUUAUUCUGUGCAUUACCACAGCCUGUGGCUUACCCAUAAUAUGUCAUGUUAACUCCUUCAGCUGCAUGGUGUCUGUUAGAAACCUCUCUCUGCCUUCCUCUCUCUCCAGGAUCUCCUGAUAUCUUACCCCUGACUAUGCUUCAUGCCUGGCUGCUGGCCAAUCAUUUUUAAUUGUAUAAAAGAAUGUAUAAAAGAAACAUAUGUACCGAAGGACAUCCCCUAUCAAACUUUCAUCAUAUGUAGUUAAUUGGACAGAAUUUUCUGAGUGCCAGAUGUAUUUAUGUUCUAUGGUAAAACAAUUAAGGAGGAUAUUCAAAGAUAAGUUCUUCUAAUUGCAUUGGCUAGUAUAACCAUGUUUGGAUAUAUUCUGAGACUAUAGGAAACCCAAUAGCCAACAAGUAAAUCAAAUAACUCUGGAAACUGAGAGAUAUAUUUCUUAUGCUUCUUCCUAUUAUAAGAAUUACAGUUGUUACAAUAUCUCUCCAGUUAUAUCUCAGUGCAUUUCAAUUUCUUGCACUGAUUCUGUGUUUAUCCAUUUACAUAUACUUGUGUUUGCAUCCCUUUCCUACCUGUGAUAUAAGAGCAUGUUAUGUAUUAUUUUAUACUUCUUUGUGUUUCCAUCGGAAAUACAAUCUGCUCUUCUAAAUGUCAAAAUUUAUAACUUUUAUUAUAAAAUUAUUUUAUCCUGUAUAUACAAAUGCACACUUACUUAACACAUAAUGUGUACUUAAUCUUCUGAUUAUGAAUAACUAUAUUUAAUAUUGACACUUAGAAAGGAAGGUCUAUUGUUGUUUUGUUUUUUGUUUAUUUGUUUCUUUAUUUACAUUAGACAAGAGUUCUUUUUUCCUAGUACUCAUAGUUUGUCAGAAGUUUUUCAACUAAGUGUCUGGAGUCAAGUGAGGUUUCUCUCUGUGUUGGAAUGACAAUAUUUGGUGUGAUUGUAGUAAACUUUUUGUCAUUUUGUUGGUUUUGUUUGAAUUGUUUUUGGGUAUUGAAGUCAUCAAAUUUCUGAGCUUUGAAAUUCCCUACUCCUCUUUCCGGAAACUCUGGUCACAACAGAUAUCGUUUUCCACUGAACCAAAAACAUUUCUGUCCAUUGCAUGCAAUAUUUUCUGUGUCUGAGAAUAGUAGAAAGUUGUGUUAUUGAUCAGUUGUGGUUGGACACAGCAUUGUAAGUCCUUAGCCAUUUGAGCAGUUGUGGAAAUGUGUAACAUGAGGCCACUGGCAGUGAGACCAGGAUUUAUCCCUAGUGCUUGAAGUAGCUUUAUAAAGCUCAUUCUCUGGGAAGGAUACCUUGCUCAGCUGACAUAUAGGAGGGAGGGUGUUGGUGCUGCCACAAAAAGAUGUGCCAGACUUUGUUUUCACCAUUGGAAGGCUUAUUCUCUCUGAGGCAUGGAUGGGGUGGUUUUUGGGAAGGUGUGGAUAGCAGGAGGAGAGGAGAGAUUGGGAACAGGGAUUGGUCUGUAAAAUGAGAAAGAUUGCUUUAAAUUUUAAAAUGUCUUUCAUCAAAUUUUUAGGCAAGAGAAUGUAGUGAAUAUUUUCAAAAUUUCAAUAUUCACAUAUUAGUACUGAACAGAAUAUUUCAAAAUCAUAAUUGGCACUGAGAAUACAAAAUGAAUGUCAAAUAUAUUCAGAUGUGUUAGUAACAAACCACACAUAAAACCAUACAAAAAUUGUGAAAUUUUUCAUAAUAUACACAUAGUAGGAAUUUCUUUCCUAAAUACAAUACUUCAGAUCAGUGCAUAAAUAUCUUCACAAAGUUAGAUAUGGCAUACAAACUAGAGGUAUUCAGAAGAGGACUUGAAGCUAACAAUUCCAUGAACUAUUAAAGGUCCUUCUUGUACAUAUAGGAGAAAACUAAAUUUCAACCAUAUAUGUCACAGUAGAGUUUUUUUCCUAUUAACAGCUGGGGUCAGACACAGCGUAUAUUACAUUUAUUCUUAUCAUCCACUUUCAGUUUUACCGCGUUUGCUACAACACACUUUUGAGUGGGAGAGAAGAAGAAUCAGCACCUCAGAUGUAGAAAUUAAGUAUUAAUAUAGGAUUUGCCUUCAGUGCUGGAAUUAAGAUAACUCUCCUAUUCCUUGCCUGAUUUGAAUGCACACAGUCCAUCAGAGGCCAGGAGUGCUAAUAAAAGCAUCAGUAGCACAGCUUCUUACAUGUCAGUCUCAGGCUGUUCUCUAGGACUCACUUGAUCCUGGAUAUGACCCAAGCCUGAUUGUACUGACUCAGACAAUGCAGACAGCUCCUGACAUCUAACAGAGGCAGAACCUGUGGGAUUCAGAAAAGGCAGGGAUUGUUUGCUUCUCGGCCCAGAAGGGCUUAACAAGAAAAUUUGCACUUACGAUGUAAUCACUGCUUUUCCGGCACUAAUGUACAUAUAUUAGACAGUGCUAAAAUUGAAGAGUGAAUCUGACAGGACAUAUCAGAAAACGCAAGCAACAAUCAGCCCUUAGCACCCACGAUUCACAUCAUGAAUGUCCAGGCAUUAUCCUGGGCUUUCAUAAAUUUAGUCCGGAUGUAGCCCCAAGCAACCUAAUAUAUAAUUGCCCUCCUAUCUGCCAGCAGUUUCUAUUUUUUAUUUGGAUAACUGGAGUUUUGUCCAGUAGAAAUUAUGUCUUCUCGUGUUGUCUGCUUUCAGUUUCCCUGCUUCUAGGUCAGCACUCGUUUAGGUGGGAGGGAGAAAUGAAUCAGCAGUUCUGAUGGAGAUUUCCAAGAGAACAUCAGGAUUUGUCCCCAGUGCUGGCAUUGAGAUCUCUCUUCUUAUUGGCUCCUUUCCCAAUUGAAAUGCACACAGCCCUUCAAUCAGAAGCAAGGGGCCCUAAUAAAAGUGUCCACAGGGAAGCUUCUUACCAGUAGGGCUCGGGCUCUACUCCAGGACUCAGGAGUUCCUGGGUAUAACCCGAGCCCUACUGGACACUGAACCAGACAAGGCAGACUGCUGACAUCUACAGGAGUCAGAGCCCAUGAGAAUCAGCAAAGACAAGCAUUGAUUGAUACACGGCACAGGGGGCUUUCAGUGAAUAUUUCCACUUAUAAGCAUUUCAUUACAGGCAAUCAUAAUAUAUUUUGGAGAAAAGCUAACAUGAAUUAUUGGGGAAUCUGACAGGGUAUAUUAGACAAUGUAAGCAACAAUCGGGUCUUGGCAGCUCUGAUUCACAAUCAUGCAGCCCCAGGUAGAUUCAGGGGAUUUCAUACUGAUAGCCAGGAUGUAGCCCCAAACAGUCUGAUAUAUGACCAACCCCUAAUUGUCACCAGUUCCUGUGUUUUCUUUUUUAUUAUUGGAGUUUUGUGCAGUUAAAAUUAUAUUUUUCAUGUACACGUUCAAUUUGGCUGCUUCUCUGGCAGCACACGUUUUAGUGGGCAGGAGAAAUGAAUCAGCAGUUCUGAUGGAGAUGUCUAAGAGAACAUCAGGAUUUGCUCCCAGUGUUGGCAUUGAGAUCUCUCUUCUACACGCACAAUUUAAAUGCACACAGGCCUUCAUUCAGAGGCAUGACAUGCUAAUAAAUGUGUCUGCAGUGAGGCUACUUAUCAGUUGGGUUCAGGCUCUACUCCAGGACUCAUUUGAUCAGUGGUAUAACCCGAGCUGACUAUACACUGACUCAGACAUGGCAGACAACUCCGGCCAUUUACGGGAGUCAGGGCCCAUGGGAAUGAGCAUAAGUAGGGAUUAUACUUCUCAGUCAUCUGUUCCUGUCUCCUAUGCAGGAAGUAGAAUCAUGCUCUGGAAGCUAUUGUUUCUUUUUUAAAAUCUGACAUCCCUGUCUAAGUCUUGAAGUGUUGUAUCAUGUGCAAGGUAGAUAGUUCACUUCUGGCUAUAAUUCAUAUCAAUUUUGUAAAUUUGAUCAUUGAGGCUUUAUGAAGACAAGAACCAUCACAAAGCAGUACCUCAAGCCUGCAUCAUAAAAGAUCCCACAUCAACCUGUUUGUUUUAUUUCCAAUCUAAUGCAUGAAGAAACACUUCUGACUAUGGAAAAUGGAUACAUGAACAGAUCAAUGGAUAAAUCAUUUCAUCAUCAGGACUCAGUUUAUGAAUAACUGAAUGAAAGGAUUAGGUUUUGCACAAGUCUGUGACCAUUCUAGUCUUGGGUUCUUGGGCAUUUUAACAGUAUGGGAUAGUUCUUCAAUUCAAUGAUGUUAAUCAUAUUUCGUAAAAGUAGCUUAUAUUCUCAUGAUCUUUUAGCCACUAUGUCAGCAUUGAAGAGUAUCAAGUAUAUUUGGCUUUUGGGCGUGUAGAAUAAGAGAGUGAGAUGUUUGUUCCUCCAGAACUUUUGAAGUUAAUGUUUUGUGUCCUGCCAGAUUCCAUAGCUUCUCUGACCCAAAGAAACACACAAAGACUUAUAUUAUGUAUAAAAUGUUUGACCAAUGGCUCAGAUGGCUUGGUUUGCCUUAAUUGUUAUCAAAUUUCUUUUCAUCUCUGCAUUGCCACAAGGCUGUGGCUUACACUUAAUCUGGUAUGUUACUCCUUUGGCAACAUGGUGUUUGUUAUGGGCAAACUCUCUGUAUUUCUCUCUCACCAGCCUUCUUCUGGACUGGUGUCCCUGCCUAUGCUUCCUUCCUGGCUGCUGGACAUUCAGUGUGUUUUUUUUUCCUCCACCAAUAUAAAGAAACACAUAUGCACAAGGGCACCCCCUUUCAAACUUCUAUCCUAUGUACUUAGUUGGAGAGAAGUUUCUCAAUAAAGCAGGAUCUUCAAAUACAUUUCCCCAUAUUUAUGUUGCCAGGUAUAACCAUGAUUUUAAUAUUGUCGAUGAGCCUCUAAAGGGAGACUAUAGGAAAACAUGUAGUCCACAAGUAAAUCAAAUAUCUCUGUCAACUGAGAGUGAUACUCCUUAUGUAUCUUCAUGUUAUAAGAAGUCUCUAAGAAUGUAAUAGUGUAGGAAAUGGUAAAACAGGACCUUAUUUUCAAAAAGCAGUAAAAGGGAACAGGGCAUUUCAAGAUUCAGAGAUUUGAAACAAUUAAACAAAGCACUAAGAGCAAUAUAAGAACUAUAUCAGAUAUAUAUAUAUAUAUAUAUAUAUAUAUAUAUAUAUAUAUAUGAAACAUUUAGGCCUCAUAGCAUGAUGAAUUGUUAGGAAUAAAAGAGUAAGUUUAGGCUGAGAUGAUAUAGAUCUCAUAUCUAUAUUGACAUAUCUAUAAGUGACAGUGAUAGGAAAUUAAAGAGUUGAGUGGGAGUGGAAUGUGUUGUUAACACUGGUGUGAAAACAUUACUCAGAGUUCUCUAGUCCAUAAUAGCUUUGUAAAACGAAAUCACAUAAUAAAGUAUUUUAAAAUGGCUCACAAUAUACUCAGUUAGUCUUCUAACAACUUGUGCUUUAAAGACUCUGCUGUGAAAUGCUAAUUUUGCAUGAUGCUGUCUAUAUUGAAACCUUACUUUCCCAGCAUAGAAUUGCAAGCCACUCUCUGAUAUCUGAAUGAGGUUAGUAUUUGAAUUUAACCUGACCCUCAGUCUCAAUAACUGAAAGAUUUACAUAGAUGCUAAAUACCUAAAAAUCAUCAUAGUGAGAAAUUCCUAUUUUCUGCAAUUCCAUCAAAAGCAAUACAAAUCUAGUAAGAAACAGUAUUGUCAGAGAGAAGCAAUUGAAAAAAAAAGUUCUUAGCAUGUCCCAUAGUCUUUUACUUGUAAAAGAAAUUUAAAUAAAAAAAUUGAAAAGAGAAGGUUUGGUAAUCUAUCCAGGGUUAUUUUUAUGCAUUCCCAAUGGUUAAGUUUUAUUUGGAAGUUUAAUAUGUUUGUUCAUGUACUGUAAGGGAGAAAUUCAUAUACUAGCACACUUUCAUUUGUCAUUUCCUUGUCAUAUCAUAAUUCUUCCAUUAUUGGUUGAGUUGCAUUGUUUUAAUAUUUUACAUAACU
Molecule: long non-coding RNA, 8563 nt
Filed under: Cricetulus griseus (Chinese hamster)
Lineage: Eukaryota; Metazoa; Chordata; Mammalia; Rodentia; Cricetidae
Description: lncRNA (ENSCGRG00015034485.1)
Source: RNAcentral